UAGAGUCUAGCCGAUAAUAAGGGUAAUGUCAUGCCCACAAGGGUGGGUUGUUCAGAGCCAACAAACAGAAAGCUGGGCCCCAACCUAGGAGUUGCUCAGGUACACAACUCAACCUGGUAUCUUCCUGACAAAUGCCCAGCUACUACUCCUUCUACCUAAGACCUGUUAUGACUCCCUAGGGAAACAACCUAGUGUCCUCUGUUGCUCUCCCUUGGACACCGAACUAUUCCUUUCCUCUCUGGGUGGUCUGUAGGCCCAUUCCCAUUUGUAUGUGCCAGUAUGUCUGUGUUGUGAGUGUGCUGGUGCCUUUCACACAGAGAUUUCACAGAACCACUCUCAUGUCCCUCCCUGGCCUACCCCACCCCCCACUGCCCACUGCCCAUGGUGUGACUGUUUUGCUAUUCAAGACUAUCUGUAAAAAAUGUACAAAUAAAAAACUGAAAAUUAAGGGGAGGGGGAAUUGCAUCUUCUUAAAUGCUGUAAUGUAGCCCUUGGUUUCCUGAGGGCCUGUGAGGACUGCCCUAGAAUCCUGAAUCUGGGGGGCACUUGAAGAGAGGGAACGCCUGUCACAGAUUUCUCCGGUUGUUUUCCUGAUGGUCGCUUCUGCUUGCUUGGUACUCUCUGUUCUAAAGACAUUUGCCUUUAAACUUAAGUAUGUCUCCCCCCCCCCCAACACCCCUAAAUAAAAGCAUAUCAUCCAAGUUAGACUAGUGAAGGCCAGGACCCAUCUCAACCCAGAGGCAUGACCUGGGGUGAUACUAGUGACUUUGUUAAUAGCUCACCUGGAACCUUGAGUGAAUCUUGUGACCUCACCACGUAUCCAUGUCCUCUCAGACUCACGGGAAGCAGGGUGAUGUUGGGGACACACGUGACACCCGGUCUCCCUAUCCAUUCUGCUGCUAUUUGUGCCCAUGCUGGCUGUUGUAUGCUGACAGAGUUCAGGCAACCCAGGAGCAGCUUUCUUCCUGUUGCUCUGGUGGGAAGCCGACUUUCCUCAGAAAGUAGCCUGCAGCCGGUUUGUGGACAGAGUCCAAAGCCUUUGAUCUACCUUUUCAGUCUCAGAUGCCUUUUCACACCCACUUUGAUGAUCUCAUCUUGCUCUCUCUGAUGGACAGAGCUUUGUCACACAGGACUGGGGUAGGAGAAAGAUCAUCAAAGGAGAUAUGUGAGUGGAUCACUUAACCAACUGUGGCUGGCUCUAUAAAUGUGGCUUCCUGCAUAAAGAAGCACAGGCUGGCCAGGGGACACUAUAAAAUCGGAGGGGGAAAAAAGAACUUGGUUCUGGAGAUACGAUGGAGGUUGUAGGUAGAGGAUGUGGUUAGAUAAACUUAGAGGUUAAUGAAAAAAUGUUUGUGCUUCCAGAAAGUCCCUCAGCAGAGUAGCAGAGAAGCAUCCCCAAGGCAGUAGUAACCCUAGUAGCAUCCAGGGCAUGGAUAAUCCCAGAGAGCAAGGGGCUACUAGGGAAGAGUGGUUGCCCAAGAGAGAUACACACAUUUGGCCUGCGCAAGCAGCCCUCCACUCAUGGUUAUAGGCCCUUCAAUCUAACACUUCCUCACUCCUCAUGGAGUUUGGUGACCCUCCUUGAGAACUGUACAAGGAAGGAUUUAGACCACCCCACCACUGUCCAAUAAAAUUUGGUACAAGUUGUGUAUGCAAUUUGAAAUAUUCUUCUACCUGAGUUGAAAAGCACCAGCAAAACAGGUGAUAUUAAUUUCAAUACUAUAUUUGAACCCAGCACAUCAAAAAUAUUAGCACUUCAACAUGGAAUCAGUAUAAAAGUUACUGGCAUGUUUUAUGUUCUGUUUAUUUCAAGUAAGAUCUUCUAAACCCAAGGUGGGUUUUACCCUGAGAAAACAUCUCCAGCUGGAUCAGCCACAUUGUGGGGGCUCAAAAGCUGCACCAGGCUUUUGUGACCAUCUAGGAGAACAGAGAGUAAGGUCUGUGGUGGAUUUCCUUGUGAGAACAAAGGCAAAGGCUGGAUUUACUCAGUAGCAGCAGAGCUAUAACCAUGAUGCUGACUCACCCUUGGAAGUCCUACUUUACCUUCUUAGUAAGGGGAGAGAGUCACUGCUGUGAACCAACCACAUGUUAUAUCUGCCUCAAGGGGAAUUAGUGCUAUCCUUGGAAAAGGCCCUGAUGACCUGUCAGAGUCCUAGGGAGAAAGCAGGCCAUGCCCCUGGGCUGUAGGAGAGUCAGGCACAGCCCACCCUAUCCAUAUAGAUAGAUGUCUUAUAUCUUAUGAUAAGAGAUAGACAGGCCUCCCUGUUGUUAAGAAUAAACGUCUCUCCCAUCUUCUAACAUCUGGUAGAGUCUCCUGCUAAAAACAUCAUCCUCCAAUUUCUUUAAUUUUUUUUUUUAAUCUUGAGUGUUGAAAAGGAGAUAUGGGAAAAGAAUAGCAGCCACACCGGGUCUCUUAAGAGGUAGCAGAGACAAGUUCUGUCCUUACACUAGGACACAGGCCACCAUUUCCUACCUCUCCUUUCUGCUUAGAGAUCUUCCUUAGAUCUAAAUGAGCCUCUUCUGUGUGUGUGAGAAAGACAAGUAAUGAGAUCUUAGGACAUAGAACAGAAUCAAUGCAAGCAACCAGCCCCUGGGAAUUCUCCAGCCAUGGCAAAGAGCCAGUAUGAUAAGGCUUGAUUCACUUAAAAUCUAAUAUUCUGAGCCCUCUGCCUGCCACGCAGGAGAAAGGGAGCUGAUUUGGUGAGUAAGUUAUAUGUGUGCUCAUUAGACAGGGGCCAUGGCUGGCAAAACCUUCAAACACCUGGAGUGUUGAUGGUCCACCAACUUGUGGCUCAGUCAAUAGAAAUUUAUUUACUCUCACUUUAAUUUGCAUAGUGCUUUCUGAUUGGUUAGACACAGUGUGGUGUAUACUGCAGGAUUCUAACAAGACUCUCCCCUUGGAAAUAACAAUUCCUGUGGUUAUUGGUGCUAAAAUAAGAUUAAAUAUUAUGUUAAUUUGUUCUGAUACAAUUUGAAUAAAUGUAUUGUUUAAUCUUAACAAGAAUGCUACAUCUUAUCAGAUCUAUUGUACUGUCUGUUUCUUCUCAUAAUUAAUUAAUUACAGGAAAGGUGAUCCGAACCAGAUCUGGAAACUCUUGUGAUAUUCCGAGAGGAACUUACCAGGGAAGUGGGAGGGGGAAUGAAAAGGGAAAUUGCCAGGUUCCUGUGACUUUGAAAGGACUGAGGAAGCAGAGAGCGAGCGUUUGGGGACUUCACUGAAACUGACUGCAUCUUGCAAUUUUCUUUUUCAAAUUGGCAGAAAUAUUGUUAUUUCCAUCGAUUGAAGAAAAAAAAGUGUCUGGUAAUUAAUUAAAUGACUUGUUCAUGGAAAAAAAAUAAAAAUAAAUAAUCUGUCAGUUGUGGAAUGUAAACUGAUUAAACAAUUAAAUAAAGAAGACCAUGUUGUGUGUUUU
RNAcentral lists this long non-coding RNA (3413 nucleotides) under Mus musculus (house mouse). Its description in RNAcentral is "long non-coding RNA chr6:40251733-40255146". The record is from RNAcentral. Lineage: Eukaryota; Metazoa; Chordata; Mammalia; Rodentia; Muridae.